GUUCUUAAUCUAUUAAUCUUGCUUUAAAAUAAGCACAAUUAACAGUUUUAUUUUAGAGAAGAAGGAGCAGAGGGUGGAUUCUCGCUGCUUGAUAUGUCUGAGGUGGCAAUGAAGCAGCUGAGAGCGGUGGAAGCAUUUAAUAAUUCACCCAAAUUAUUUCUGUCAGGACUGACAAGCUAAACAGGGCCUUGAUUUAAUUCUGUAAUUGCACGUUCACCUUUACCCUGAACCCAUACUUUGGUAAUUAAUAGGACCGAGCUUUAUUUGAAGUGUGGCACGGCAAGUAAUGGAAUUCAAAUUGCAGGUGAUGUGAAACCAAAGAUGUGAAUGCCCGCUUGGCCAAGGAGCUUGUGUUAUUUCCUCCACCACGGUGUCACCCGGAGGAGAACGGUGCCAAAAAGUGGCACAAACCUUCAAUCAACCUCCAGACCUAAUCCUCUGCUCCUGCAUUUGGAAGACCAUCUGUCUAGUGUUAAAAGCAGCUAUGAACUCCUGAGAGGCAGCCAGCAGGAAAGAAGUUACUUGACCUGGUUCAGCUUCAAGCACUUCAUAAUUGUGACAGCAUGUGAAUCAGCUGAAUGACUGUGGGUGUAAAGCCUGCUGUUAGCACCAGUGCUGCACACUGCACAACUGGAUGUGUCCUGCAGUCAUAGAUGUUCUGCUGGUGCGGUUGGUGGUAAAGGCUUUUACAGUGGAGUUGCACUAAGUAGAACUGUGAUGGUUGGAGAAGGAGGUGAGGAAGGGAAAAAUAAGCCCAGAAAGGAAAGGGGACAACUGAAAAAGACAAAGAGCUCUUGGGCUGUGAUAGCUGAUCUACACGAUUGCUUCCAUGCCAUGAUCAUGUUUAUCUCUGAAUUAUUGAAAACCUGAAAACCUGUUUCUAUGACAAAGAAAGGCUUCAGAAAGUUUUGGGGGGGGUUCUGCCUUGAUAAAAGUGGAGUAAUUGUAAGUCAAGGUCAAGCCCUCCCUGUACUGUUUCCUUUUUGGACUGCAGACAAGGAUUGUGCCUUUAAUAAAUGAGUGGAUAGUCAUCUGGACGGUAAUUGGCCUAUGCCUCAUUAUUGAGAGGUGGACAGCUGCUGUAGAGGACAGCACAUUGACUGUACUGAUUACACCAAGACAAACACAUCACAAAUAAAUCUUAUAACACUCACUUUCUGCUAUUCAUUCAUACCCUCUGUCUUCUUAAGAUGGCACCUCACCAUCUCUGAUACUGCAGGGAAAAAUAUUAUUAAUAACAAGCUUCACUGAUUCACUUAUUAUACAAAAUUAAAUGUUUUCAGCAGAGCUUCUCUCUGUAUGAAUCAGGAUCUGAUUUAACAUGUCUUUGGAGGAUUUGCCUAACGCUGUUGCCAUUGUUGCAAAAUAUUCAAAUUCUCCACUUUCAGUCGCAGCGUCAGUGCCUGUUUUUCACAGAGCUGCUGUGUGGCAGGAAAAGACGCUGCGAUGAUGGCGGGUGGAGAAGGGUGGAGGGAUUUUUCAGCCGUACUCCAUAUGUUGUGUCAUUUGGGGGCUUGCUGGUGUCUGUGUAUGCUUGGCAAGUCUUGGCUCCUUUUCUCUGUUCAUGGUGUCUGUGCACCCGUCUCUGUCAUCACCCACCUGCCCCUCUGCCUCUGGACCUGGCACAGCACAAUGUCUCACCUCCUCGACAACAUGAAAGUAAAAUGAAAUGAAAAGUAAACUCAAUUGAACUUGCCCACAAAAUUAUAAAUGCAGUACAUCCACAAUGUAUAUCAGCAGGAUCACACUCAAUUUGUCAGUAUUUUAGUUUAGUAGACACCUCUGUGUCUGUGUACUUACUAGUAUUGCACAUGAAUUUCUAGAGGGCUGUAUUGUCUCACAUUGAAAUCAACAAGUUUAGCAAAUACAGGGAAUGACCAUCGCAGCAUUUACAGUGUUUGUCAUGCCAGCUGCUGCAUUUUUCAAACAUUUAUAAUUUGUGAAACCACUGACUGCAUGUCAAUGAAAAUUACAAAUGACUUCAAGAGACAACAUGACAUGAAACAAAAAAUAAUAAUAAAAAAGCAAAAAAAUAUAAACGUGAAACAAUUGCAAAAAAUGCAAUUGUAAAAAAAUCAGGUAGCAAACCAAACUUGUUAAUAUAUUUAUUUUAACGUAUAAAUUCAUAAAGAGAACAUCUGACAUGCUUACCA
This 2153-nucleotide long non-coding RNA is filed under the name Oreochromis niloticus (Nile tilapia). Its description in RNAcentral is "lncRNA (ENSONIG00000036279.1)". The record is from RNAcentral. Lineage: Eukaryota; Metazoa; Chordata; Actinopteri; Cichliformes; Cichlidae.